GAUGAAGACGCAGCGAAAUGCGAUAAGUAAUGCGAAUUGCAGAAUUCAGUGAGUCAUCGAAUCUUUGAACGCACAUUGCGCCCUGUGGUAUUCCGCAGGGCAUGCCUGUUCGAGCGUCAUUUCAACCCUCAAGCUCUGCUUGGUGUUGGGCCCUGCCCGCUGCGGCCGGCCCUAAAGACAGUGGCGGUGCCGCCUGGCCCUGAGCGUAGUACAUCUCUCGCUCCAGUGCCCGGUGGUAGCCUGCCAGAACCCCAACUCUCGUGGUUGACCUCGGAUCAGGUAGGGAUACCCGCUGAACUUAAGCAUAUCAAUAAGCGGAGGA
This 322-nucleotide unclassified non-coding RNA is filed under the name soil metagenome. RNAcentral describes it as "partial contains 5.8S ribosomal RNA, internal transcribed spacer 2, and large subunit ribosomal RNA". The stretch from base 1 to 119 matches the Rfam family "5.8S ribosomal RNA", at positions 35 to 154 of the family's 154-position model. The record is from RNAcentral.